This 209-nucleotide ribosomal RNA is filed under the name Pseudo-nitzschia fraudulenta. Its description in RNAcentral is "partial Bacterial large subunit ribosomal RNA". It matches the Rfam family "Bacterial large subunit ribosomal RNA", at positions 2270 to 2479 of the family's 2925-position model. The record is from RNAcentral. Lineage: Eukaryota; Bacillariophyta; Bacillariophyceae; Bacillariales; Bacillariaceae.
UGACUGGGGCGGUCGCCUCCUAAAAAGUAACGGAGGCGCCCAAAGGUUCCCUCAGCAUGGACGGAAAUCAUGCGCAGAGUGUAAAGGCAUAAGGGAGCUUGACUGCGAGAGAGACAUUUCGAGCAGGUACGAAAGUAGGUCUUAGUGAUCCGGCGGUCCUGAAUGGAAGGGCCGUCGCUCAACGGAUAAAAGGUACGCCGGGGAUAACA